UGGGCUUCUGUGGCUCGCCAUGGACUCCGGCAUGUACGGACGCUUGCGCAUGCAUCGGGAAGACAGGAACGGUUCCUCUUCUUCCCCUAGAUUAAUUUCCCACAGCCGUCUUGGAGUGCUCUUCUUUCUUCGCUGCCGUGGUUCGGUGGUUGCCUUGCCUGAAAGAACAAGAGCACAGCUCCACGGGAUAAUAAGGCUGUAAGGCUGACUUCUUCCUUCUGGAUGUUUUCUCAUCGCAGGGUCCUGAUCGAUCUGGUUGAUUCGGGCCGACCAAGCAAGGAGUACGUGUACGUGUACGUGCGCGUCUAGUCUGCUGUCGGUGUCAGGUCGCCAGCUGGAUCAAGGAGGUAAGCCCUUUUCUUUUCUUGGAUGCUCCAUGGUCGUCCCCAUGACGCAAAUUAAACUACUAGGAUAAUUUGCUUUACGGGCAUGUGUUCAUUUUGUAUGUUGACCAAAGCUUCAUUGUUUUUCAUAAUUAGUGCUGGUGAUGUAAUGUGCUAAUCUCACGUUGAACUAGAUUGAUAUUUUCUAGUCUCAAAGUUUGUUAGUUGUUGUUAGUUUUUCGUAAUUGGUGCUGGUGAUGUAAUGUGCUAAUCUCACGUUGAACUAGAUUGAUGUUUUCUAGUCUCAAAGUUUGUUAGUUUUCGUAAUUAGUGCUGGUGAUGUAAUGUGCUAAUCUCACGUUGAACUAGAUUGAUGUUUUCUAGUCUCAAAGUUUGUUUAGUCGUUGUUAGUUUUCGUAAUUAGUGCUGGUGAUACAUCUUCAUCUCUACGCUUAUGCAUUCGCCUUUUAUCUUUAGCAUUUAAUUUUAGAACAUUCUUGUAUUAUUUUCUGCCUGGACGAAUGAUGCACGUUAAGUACACAUUAUGAUAUGAAGCAAAGAUAAAUCUCAGAGGGCAUAAUUCCAUAUUAAUUGCGAGAUAAUGACAUACCGCUAGCACAUGACCGCCUCUCGUAGUUAGUAGUAAAUCUCAUUCUAUUAGGCAGCAUAGAUAGAUCGCGCUCAUCUUCGCGCUUAGCCAAGCUUUAUUUCCUUAGCGUAGCAAAUGUGCUAAAUAGCUAGUACUAUGUUAGUAUGCAUGGCUCCAAAAUUAAAUGCGCAUCGUGAUGCGUGGCUCCAAAAUCUCUGAAUGAACAAUGACAAGCUUAUUCAUUCUUAGUUCAAAAAUCGCCUAGCAAAAUAUUUGAAUUCAAUAUAACAUGGAUUCAAUGUUUUGAACUCGAUAUCAUGGCAUAUGUAAUUCAUAUGAAACGGGGCCAUCACACUCUAUUGUGGGUGAAUUUAUUUGGUAUCUGAGGAAACUUAUAAGAUAAGCCACCGUCCGAGAUUUGUUGCGCGGAACUUCUGCGUGAAGGCAACAUUGUAGUGUGAAUCUUAUACCAUACAAUGGUCUAUGACAUGUUUCACACAACAAUUUCGGACCGUGGCUACAAGCCUAUGUUAUAAGUUAGCACAACAAUGGAUCCCAAAACAUCUUAUUUCUGAGGAAAGCAAAAGUAACAUGGAUGCUAAACCCGAAAGCAAAACCACCUUUUUGGUCCGGGUUUAGGCCGGGCUUCCCAUGCCUAGGUUUAGUUCUUAACAUCCAAGUCAUUAUUUCAAAAUCUAGUCAUUAUAUGUUUAUCAACAUGAUGAUUCUACAGAUCUCGCCGUAAGACUACCCACCGAAAAAGACAGGAAACAAAUGAAGCUCCCACGCCCGCGGGUCUAAAAAAUAUCAUCAUCGGAUAACUACAUGCAGAGCGCCCUUGGCAACCGGGAGACAAAAGAAUAACAGACCUAUCUCCAGUCUGAUGCCACUCGUGUCGAAAGGUUACUAUUGCAAAAUUAGCUAUUGCCUUUUCGAGAGGUGACAAUUCCUACAAGAGGGUGUUGCCCUUUAGUAUAGUACUACUUCAAAAUAGAUACAAUGUCGUCGCCUUUUGGGCUAUCAUUGCCAUAUGUAAAAAGUUCGUUGCGUUUUGGAAUGUCCAGACAACGUCGCCUUUUGAAAUGUUCAAACGGUGUCACCUUUUGUAACGGUAGCAUUUAGAAAUAGCGACAACCCCGUCGCGUUCUGGACUAUCAUUGCUAUAUGGAACAGUAAC
RNAcentral lists this long non-coding RNA (2089 nucleotides) under Triticum aestivum (bread wheat). RNAcentral describes it as "long non-coding RNA (TAES_LNC001688)". Lineage: Eukaryota; Viridiplantae; Streptophyta; Magnoliopsida; Poales; Poaceae. The record is from RNAcentral.